RNAcentral lists this ribosomal RNA (253 nucleotides) under uncultured bacterium. RNAcentral's name for it is "partial 16S ribosomal RNA". It matches the Rfam family "Bacterial small subunit ribosomal RNA", at positions 524 to 776 of the family's 1533-position model. The record is from RNAcentral.
UACGUAGGGUGCAAGCGUUAAUCGGAAUUACUGGGCGUAAAGCGUGCGCAGGCGGUUUUGCAAGACCGAUGUGAAAUCCCCGGGCUUAACCUGGGAAUGGCAUUGGUGACUGCAUCGCUGGAGUGCGGCAGAGGGGGAUGGAAUUCCGCGUGUAGCAGUGAAAUGCGUAGAUAUGCGGAGGAACACCGAUGGCGAAGGCAAUCCCCUGGGCCUGCACUGACGCUCAUGCACGAAAGCGUGGGGAGCAAACAGG